RNAcentral lists this ribosomal RNA (479 nucleotides) under uncultured bacterium. RNAcentral's name for it is "bacterial SSU rRNA". It matches the Rfam family "Bacterial small subunit ribosomal RNA", at positions 33 to 507 of the family's 1533-position model. The record is from RNAcentral.
GACGACGCUGGCGGCGUGCCUAAUACAUGCAAGUCGAGCGGGGAUUAUGCUUGAUCGCUUCGGUGAGACGGCAUAUAUCCUAGCGGCGGACGGGUGAGUAACGCGUGGGUAAUCUACCUCGUAGUUCGGGAUAACAGGCCGAAAGGCUUGCUAAUACCGGAUGAGUUCAUGCUUAUGCAUAUAGGCAUGAAGAAAGGGCUAGCCCGCUAUGAGAUGAGCCCGCGUCCCAUUAGCUUGUUGGUGGGGUAAUGGCCUACCAAGGCAACGAUGGGUAGCCGGCCUGAGAGGGUGUACGGCCACACUGGGACUGAGACACGGCCCAGACUCCUACGGGGGGCAGCAGUAGGGAAUUUUCGGCAAUGGGCGAAAGCCUGACCGAGCGACGCCGCGUGAGGGACGAAGGCCUUCGGGUUGUAAACCUCUGUCUGGGGGGAUGAGAACGGACGGUACCCCCGGAGGAAGCCCCGGCUAACUACGUG